This 253-nucleotide ribosomal RNA is filed under the name uncultured bacterium. RNAcentral's name for it is "partial 16S ribosomal RNA". It matches the Rfam family "Bacterial small subunit ribosomal RNA", at positions 524 to 776 of the family's 1533-position model. The record is from RNAcentral.
UACGUAGGAUGCAAGCGUUGUCCGGAAUUAUUGGGCGUAAAGAGCGCGCAGGCGGUCUAUCAAGUCAGAUGUGAAAUAUCCAGGCUUAACCUGGAGGGGUCAUUUGAAACUGGUAGACUAGAGUACAGCAGAGGAUAGUGGAAUUCCCGGUGUAGUGGUGAAAUGCGUAGAUAUCGGGAGGAACACCAGUGGCGAAGGCGACUAUCUGGGCUGAAACUGACGCUGAGGCGCGAAGGCUAGGGGAGCAAACAGG